RNAcentral lists this ribosomal RNA (251 nucleotides) under uncultured bacterium. RNAcentral's name for it is "partial 16S ribosomal RNA". It matches the Rfam family "Bacterial small subunit ribosomal RNA", at positions 524 to 777 of the family's 1533-position model. The record is from RNAcentral.
UACGAAGGUGGCAAGCGUUGUUCGGAUUUACUGGGCGUAAAGGGAGCGUAGGUGGUGGGGUAAGCCCCGCGGGAAAGCUCCAGGCUUAACCUGGAAAGGUCGCGGGGACUGCUCCGCUCGAGGACGGAGAGGAGCGCGGAAUUCCCGGUGUAGCGGUGAAAUGCGUAGAGAUCGGGAGGAAGGCCGGUGGCGAAGGCGGCGCUCUGGAACGGCCCUGACACUGAGGCUCGAAAGCGUGGGAGCAAACAGGG